UCUUAUGAUGAAAAGAGGGUCGAAUGAUACAUGAUUAUCGCUGGAAAAACUGAGU
RNAcentral lists this small nucleolar RNA (55 nucleotides) under Candidatus Acidianus copahuensis. RNAcentral's name for it is "Small nucleolar RNA sR20". It matches the Rfam family "Small nucleolar RNA sR20". Lineage: Archaea; Thermoproteati; Thermoproteota; Thermoprotei; Sulfolobales; Sulfolobaceae. The record is from Rfam by way of RNAcentral.